This 76-nucleotide transfer RNA is filed under the name Escherichia coli. RNAcentral describes it as "tRNA-Asn". It matches the Rfam family "tRNA". From Rfam's summary of the family: Transfer RNA (tRNA) molecules are approximately 80 nucleotides in length. Their secondary structure includes four short double-helical elements and three loops (D, anti-codon, and T loops). RNAcentral also lists the same sequence under 58 other names. Lineage: Bacteria; Pseudomonadati; Pseudomonadota; Gammaproteobacteria; Enterobacterales; Enterobacteriaceae. The record is from RNAcentral.
UCCUCUGUAGUUCAGUCGGUAGAGCGGCGGACUGUUAAUCCGUAUGUCACUGGUUCGAGUCCAGUCAGAGGAGCCA